This 1390-nucleotide ribosomal RNA is filed under the name Brevibacterium sp. RNAcentral's name for it is "bacterial SSU rRNA". It matches the Rfam family "Bacterial small subunit ribosomal RNA". The record is from RNAcentral. Lineage: Bacteria; Bacillati; Actinomycetota; Actinomycetes; Micrococcales; Brevibacteriaceae.
GCAAGUCGAACGCUGAAGCCUGGUGCUUGCACCGGGUGGAUGAGUGGCGAACGGGUGAGUAACACGUGAGUAACCUGCCCCUGACUUCGGGAUAAGCCCGGGAAACUGGGUCUAAUACCGGAUACGACUGCCGGACGCAUGUCUGGUGGUGGAAAGUUUUUUCGGUUGGGGAUGGGCUCGCGGCCUAUCAGUUUGUUGGUGAGGUAAUGGCUCACCAAGACGACGACGGGUAGCCGGCCUGAGAGGGCGACCGGCCACACUGGGACUGAGACACGGCCCAGACUCCUACGGGAGGCAGCAGUGGGGAAUAUUGCACAAUGGGGGAAACCCUGAUGCAGCGACGCAGCGUGCGGGAUGACGGCCUUCGGGUUGUAAACCGCUUUCAGCAGGGAAGAAGCGCAAGUGACGGUACCUGCAGAAGAAGUACCGGCUAACUACGUGCCAGCAGCCGCGGUAAUACGUAGGGUACGAGCGUUGUCCGGAAUUAUUGGGCGUAAAGAGCUCGUAGGUGGUUGGUCACGUCUGCUGUGGAAACGCAACGCUUAACGUUGCGCGUGCAGUGGGUACGGGCUGACUAGAGUGCAGUAGGGGAGUCUGGAAUUCCUGGUGUAGCGGUGAAAUGCGCAGAUAUCAGGAGGAACACCGGUGGCGAAGGCGGGACUCUGGGCUGUAACUGACACUGAGGAGCGAAAGCAUGGGGAGCGAACAGGAUUAGAUACCCUGGUAGUCCAUGCCGUAAACGUUGGGCACUAGGUGUGGGGGGCAUUCCACGUUCUCCGCGCCGUAGCUAACGCAUUAAGUGCCCCGCCUGGGGAGUACGGUCGCAAGGCUAAAACUCAAAGGAAUUGACGGGGGCCCGCACAAGCGGCGGAGCAUGCGGAUUAAUUCGAUGCAACGCGAAGAACCUUACCAAGGCUUGACAUACACCGGACCGUCCUGGAAACAGGUCCUCUUCUUUGAAGCUGGUGUACAGGUGGUGCAUGGUUGUCGUCAGCUCGUGUCGUGAGAUGUUGGGUUAAGUCCCGCAACGAGCGCAACCCUCGUUCUAUGUUGCCAGCACGUGAUGGUGGGAACUCAUAGGAGACUGCCGGGGUCAACUCGGAGGAAGGUGGGGAUGACGUCAAAUCAUCAUGCCCUUUAUGUCUUGGGCUUCACGCAUGCUACAAUGGCUGGUACAGAGAGAGGCGAACCCGUGAGGGCAAGCGAAUCCCUUAAAGCCAGUCUCAGUUCGGAUCGUAGUCUGCAAUUCGACUACGUGAAGUCGGAGUCGCUAGUAAUCGCAGAUCAGCAACGCUGCGGUGAAUACGUUCCCGGGCCUUGUACACACCGCCCGUCAAGUCACGAAAGUCGGUAACACCCGAAGCCGGUGGCCUAACCGUAAGGAGGGGGC